This 222-nucleotide non-coding RNA is filed under the name Eucalyptus grandis. RNAcentral describes it as "Bacterial small subunit ribosomal RNA". It matches the Rfam family "Bacterial small subunit ribosomal RNA", at positions 106 to 343 of the family's 1533-position model. Lineage: Eukaryota; Viridiplantae; Streptophyta; Magnoliopsida; Myrtales; Myrtaceae. The record is from Rfam by way of RNAcentral.
AUAAAGAAGAAGAAAGUAACCUGCCCAUGAGAGGGGAACAAUGACUGAAAAUGGCCACUAAUGCCUUGUUGGCUUUGGAGCAAAAGGGAGAAUUUGCCCAAUGAGAGGCUCACGUUUGAUUAGCCAAUUGGUGAGACAAUAGCUCAUCAAGGCGAUGAUUAGUAACUAAUUCGAGAGGAUAAUCAGCCACAUCAGGACUGAGAUAUGAUCUGGACUCCUAAA